GCUUUGUAGAGAUGCAACAAAUAACAAAGGACCAACUUAUUAUUACUAGAUGUAAUUAUGUAUAGAUGUCCUAUUCAUUUUACUUUUCAGUUUCAUUUUUUCGUUUCUUUUUGGUUCCGACAACGAAAAGAGAAAGAAGGGUGUAGUAGCUAUAGCCUAUAGGUGGAUUCGCCUCAGGUUAGGGGGGGACAUCGAUGCUGAUACAGCCUAUAGCCUAUAGGUGGAUUCGCCUCAGGUUAGGGGGGGACAUCGGUGCUGAUACAUUUCAUGAGAAGAUGUGCUCUCUUAUGGUGUUUUAGGCCUGCUACAGAAGAAUAGGAUAUAGUUUCUCACACAAAGUCAUUUUUGUUGUGGAAGCAGGUUACUCUACUGCUCCUGCUGUAUUAAUAACGAUAUAAAAGACGUAUAGCAAUUCACAUUUUAUUCCAGGUCUUGAAUUACGGA
This 444-nucleotide long non-coding RNA is filed under the name Nicotiana tabacum (common tobacco). Its description in RNAcentral is "long non-coding RNA (NTAB_LNC003046)". Lineage: Eukaryota; Viridiplantae; Streptophyta; Magnoliopsida; Solanales; Solanaceae. The record is from RNAcentral.